RNAcentral lists this ribosomal RNA (352 nucleotides) under uncultured Desulfobulbus sp. RNAcentral describes it as "bacterial SSU rRNA". It matches the Rfam family "Bacterial small subunit ribosomal RNA", at positions 1032 to 1382 of the family's 1533-position model. The record is from RNAcentral. Lineage: Bacteria; Pseudomonadati; Thermodesulfobacteriota; Desulfobulbia; Desulfobulbales; Desulfobulbaceae.
AGACAGGUGGCUGCAUGGCUGUCGUCAGCUCGUGUCGUGAGAUGUUGGGUUAAGUCCCGCAACGAGCGCAACCCUUGCCUUUAGUUGCCAGCAGUUCGGCUGGGCACUCUAAAGGGACUGCCGGUGUUAAACCGGAGGAAGGUGGGGAUGACGUCAAGUCCUCAUGGCCUUUAUGACCAGGGCUACACACGUACUACAAUGGCCGAUACAAAGGGCAGCGACACUGCGAGGUGAAGCCAAUCCCGUAAAAUACGGUCUCAGUCCGGAUUGGAGUCUGCAACUCGACUCCAUGAAGUUGGAAUCGCUAGUAAUCGUGGAUCAGCAUGCCACGGUGAAUACGUUCCCGGGCCUU